RNAcentral lists this ribosomal RNA (253 nucleotides) under uncultured bacterium. RNAcentral describes it as "partial 16S ribosomal RNA". It matches the Rfam family "Bacterial small subunit ribosomal RNA", at positions 524 to 776 of the family's 1533-position model. The record is from RNAcentral.
UACGUAGGGUGCGAGCGUUAAUCGGAAUUACUGGGCGUAAAGCGUGCGCAGGCGGCGCCGCAAGUCGAGUGUGAAAUCCCCGAGCUUAACUUGGGAAUUGCGCUCGAAACUACGGUGCUGGAGUGUGGCAGAGGGGGGUGGAAUUCCACGUGUAGCGGUGAAAUGCGUAGAGAUGUGGAGGAACACCGAUGGCGAAGGCAGCCUCCUGGGCCAACACUGACGCUCAUGCACGAAAGCGUGGGGAGCAAACAGG